This 438-nucleotide small RNA is filed under the name Pan troglodytes (chimpanzee). RNAcentral describes it as "processed transcript". Lineage: Eukaryota; Metazoa; Chordata; Mammalia; Primates; Hominidae. The record is from RNAcentral.
AAAAGGCUGCUCCGGAACUGCCCUACUUUAGACUUUUUCAUGGUUAUCAAUCUGUACAAAGAAUCACCAAACUGAUAAAGCAGGAACCAGAGGGCAAAUCACGCUGCCAAGACAACUGUGUAAUUCGCUCGAAAAAGAAACGGAGGCACCCCUUAUGAAAGUAAUAUUUGAAGACAAUAAAACUGACAGUGCAAUUUAAGAUGGCUAGACCAGAGCAGAGACCAGAAGCUAAGGGGCCCCAUGCUGUGUAAAUACUGGCACACAGGUCUGGCAGAAGGAACAGUAUCAACUGACCGAGUAGGUGUCACUGGCAGUUGUGAUUCAGAGACCUAGAAAGCUGAACCCAUGCCUGGCAAGAAGAGGAUGGUUUGUGGGACCUGGGCUGAUGUCUGAUGAAAUUUUAAGCCCCAGCUAUAGCUACUACAAAGAAAAGUGGCU